This 412-nucleotide long non-coding RNA is filed under the name Mytilus galloprovincialis (Mediterranean mussel). Lineage: Eukaryota; Metazoa; Mollusca; Bivalvia; Mytilida; Mytilidae. The record is from RNAcentral.
GGUGUGUGAAUUUUUUCUUAAUGAGAAUGUGGGGCAAUGUGGUAUACAGGGUAGACAAAUCAAAACUUUGAACAGAUUCAAAAUCACCAAUAUAAGCAUGCAAUUUAUCAAGUACUUCCAACGAGUUCUUGACACUCCAAAAGUAAUUUAUUCCACUAUUUUCGAAGGCCUUAUUUGAACAAUUUAUUAUCAGGUUUUUAAUUGUGCCAAGUGUGCUGGUAAGAAGAAUAGACAAUUUAGUAGUUGACCAAUGGCUUAAAGACGAAAUAAAUAUAUAUUUGUAAGGGGUUUUGUGUAGCUUCGGAAGCCAAUACAUAGUUGGGACUUUCAUUGUAUUUGGCUCUGCUUGUAAAGCGGUGGCUAAAAGUUUAUGUUUGUUACAGAUUUCGUUUUCUGAAAAUGGAGUCAAUUG